GAUGAACGCUGGCGGCGUGCCUAAUACAUGCAAGUCGAGCGAACAGACGAGGAGCUUGCUCCUUUGACGUUAGCGGCGGACGGGUGAGUAACACGUGGGUAACCUACCUAUAAGACUGGGAUAACUUCGGGAAACCGGAGCUAAUACCGGAUAAUAUUUCGAACCGCAUGGUUCGAUAGUGAAAGAUGGCUCUGCUACCACUUAUAGAUGGACCUGCGCCGUAUUAGCUAGUUGGUAAGGUAACGGCUUACCAAGGCAACGAUACGUAGCCGACCUGAGAGGGUGAUCGGCCACACUGGAACUGAGACACGGUCCAGACUCCUACGGGAGGCAGCAGUAGGGAAUCUUCCGCAAUGGGCGAAAGCCUGACGGAGCAACGCCGCGUGAGUGAUGAAGGUCUUCGGAUCGUAAAACUCUGUUAUUAGGGAAGAACAAACGUGUAAGUAACUGUGCACGUCUUGACGGUACCUAAUCAGAAAGCCACGGCUAACUACGUGCCAGCAGCCGCGGUAAUACGUAGGUGGCAAGCGUUAUCCGGAAUUAUUGGGCGUAAAGCGCGCGUAGGCGGUUUUUUAAGUCUGAUGUGAAAGCCCCACGGCUCAACCGUGGAGGGUCAUUGGAAACUGGAAAACUUGAGUGCAGAAGAGGAAAGUGGAAUUCCAUGUGUAGCGGUGAAAUGCGCAGAGAUAUGGAGGAACACCAGUGGCGAAGGCGACUUUCUGGUCUGUAACUGACGCUGAUGUGCGAAAGCGUGGGGAUCAAACAGGAUUAGAUACCCUGGUAGUCCACGCCGUAAACGAUGAGUGCUAAGUGUUAGGGGGUUUCCGCCCCUUAGUGCUGCAGCUAACGCAUUAAGCACUCCGCCUGGGGAGUACGACCGCAAGGUUGAAACUCAAAGGAAUUGACGGGGACCCGCACAAGCGGUGGAGCAUGUGGUUUAAUUCGAAGCAACGCGAAGAACCUUACCAAAUCUUGACAUCCUUUGACUCUUCUAGAGAUAGAAGUUUCCCCUUCGGGGGACAAAGUGACAGGUGGUGCAUGGUUGUCGUCAGCUCGUGUCGUGAGAUGUUGAGUUAAGUCCCGCAACGAGCGCAACCCUUAAGCUUAGUUGCCAUCAUUAAGUUGGGCACUCUAAGUUGACUGCCGGUGACAAACCGGAGGAAGGUGGGGAUGACGUCAAAUCAUCAUGCCCCUUAUGAUUUGGGCUACACACGUGCUACAAUGGGCAAUACAAAGGGCAGCGAAACCGCGAGGUCAAGCAAAUCCCAUAAAGUUGUUCUCAGUUCGGAUUGUAGUCUGCAACUCGACUACAUGAAGCUGGAAUCGCUAGUAAUCGUAGAUCAGCAUGCUACGGUGAAUACGUUCCCGGGUCU
This 1373-nucleotide ribosomal RNA is filed under the name uncultured bacterium. RNAcentral's name for it is "bacterial SSU rRNA". It matches the Rfam family "Bacterial small subunit ribosomal RNA", at positions 28 to 1381 of the family's 1533-position model. The record is from RNAcentral.